Molecule: non-coding RNA, 91 nt
Organism: Tricharina praecox
Lineage: Eukaryota; Fungi; Ascomycota; Pezizomycetes; Pezizales; Pyronemataceae
Source: the annotation of a RefSeq genome assembly
GGCCGCGUGGCCUAAUGGCUAAGGCGUUGGUUUUCGGUUCUCAGGAAUAGAAGUUCGCCAAAGAUUGUGCGUUCGAGUCGCAUCGUGGUCG